This 377-nucleotide ribosomal RNA is filed under the name uncultured bacterium. RNAcentral's name for it is "bacterial SSU rRNA". It matches the Rfam family "Bacterial small subunit ribosomal RNA", at positions 523 to 898 of the family's 1533-position model. The record is from RNAcentral.
AUACGUAGGAUGCGAGCGUUGUCCGGAUUUACUGGGCGUAAAGAGCUCGUAGGCGGGAACAUACGUCUGGGAGGAAAUGUCACGGCUUAACCGUGUCGCUUUCCCGGAUACGGUGUUUCUUGAGGGCAGAAGAGGAGAAUAGAAUUCCCAGUGUAGCGGUGAAAUGCGUAGAUAUUGGGAAGAAUACCAGUGGCGAAGGCGAUUCUCUGGUCUGUCUCUGACGCUGAGGAGCGAAAGUGUGGGUAGCGAACGGGAUUAGAUACCCCGGUAGUCCACACCGUAAACGAUGGAUACUAGGUGUAUGAGGUAUCGACCCCUUAUGUGCCGGAGCUAACGCAUUAAGUAUCCCGCCUGGGGAGUACGAUCGCAAGAUUGAA